UACAGAGGUGGCAAGCGUUGUUCGGAAUUACUGAGCGUAAAGGGCGCGUAGGCGGUUCGUUAAGUCCUGUGUGAAAUCCCCCGGCUCAACUGGGGAACUGCACAGGAAACUAGCGGGCUUGAGUUCGGGAGAGGGAAGCGGAAUUCCGGGUGUAGCGGUGAAAUGCGUAGAUAUCCGGAGGAACACCGGUGGCGAAGGCGGCUUCCUGGACCGACACUGACGCUGAGGCGCGAAAGCUAGGGGAGCAAACGGG
RNAcentral lists this ribosomal RNA (253 nucleotides) under uncultured bacterium. Its description in RNAcentral is "partial 16S ribosomal RNA". It matches the Rfam family "Bacterial small subunit ribosomal RNA", at positions 524 to 776 of the family's 1533-position model. The record is from RNAcentral.